AUCAAAAAUAUCUGGCUGUGUCGUCCACGUUGGCACCCCCCUGUCCAAGGCCCAUCUGGAAUCAGAUAUUGCACUUUUUCUCUUCUUUCCUCAAAUUUUUUAACCACCCGCAAAUUUUUUCUCAGAACCGACUUCUAAAACAAUGGGGGAAGAGGUUGCGAUGACUGCUCACGAUCCCAACGCCAACAACAACCAUGACGAUUAUAACGCCGACGAAGAGAGAAUACUCGAGUGGGAGCUUGGCUUACCUAACGCCAACGAUCUAACUCCGUUAUCUCAGUCGUUAAUUCCGCUCGAACUCAUGACGGCCUUCAGUAUCUCUCCGAUGCAACACCGUUCCCUCGUUGACGUGAAUCGAGCGUCUCAGAACACACUGUCGUCGCUACGUGGCAGCCAAUCCCACGCUCUCUCCUCCACGAGCAACAACAUCAAGUCCUGCACCGAAACGCGGGACCCGACGUUUCUGGAACCCGACGAGACCGACCAAAACGAGUCGGGAUCCGACUCUCGAAAAUCGCGUAAACUGGACUCUAUGGAGGAGGCCGACUCGGCUUUGAGGACGGAUAAUUCGAAUAACAACGAGGAUCCGUCCGUGCGGACGCUGAAACGGCCGCGUUUAGUUUGGACACCGCAGCUUCACAAGCGUUUCGUGGACGUGGUGGGCCACCUUGGGAUCAAUAACGCGGUACCGAAGACAAUCAUGCAGUUGAUGAACGUUGAAGGCCUGACACGCGAGAACGUGGCGAGUCAUUUGCAGAAGUAUCGGUUAUAUUUGAAACGGAUGCAAGGUUCGUCGAAUGACGACCCGUCAUCGGCGGACCAUCAAUUGUUCGCCUCGACGCCGGUUAUACCGCAGUGUUUACAUUACGAGAGCGGUGAAAAUAAUCAUAAUAAUAACAAUAAUAGUAAUAAUAAUGGUAAUGGACACGUGGCGGUUCCGAUGCCAGGGUCUUAUGGUGUGCCACCGGCUUUGAUGUCGAUGCCUUUUUACGGGAUGAUGAACCAGGGGUUUCACCAACAGGGGCAUGGGUUCGACCAGAGCAUGUAUAAUAUGAGCAUGAAUAUGAAUAUGAAUAUCGGGAUGCGUAAUAUGAUACAGCAGAGGGAUUGGUCUGUGAAUAAGCAGGGGGCGGUAAUGUCGGAUCCCCAUCGUUUGGCGCCUUCUAGUGAUAAAUGAAAGAACAUGAAAUUUUUGUUGGUGCCUUGAAUAGAGUUAUGUUGAGCUGGGAUAUAUGCAAUGCUGAUUGGAGAUUUGUUGUCACAUUGAAACCUCGUUGUUACAUCCCAUUUAAUCUUCUUCAAUCGCAUAAGUUCACUGACUCCUUGAACCACUGUUUGGAACUCUACUUCAGUAAUGGACCUUGCCACCACAUUUUGUAAAGAUUAAAUUCUUGGGCUACUUGGUUUGAGGUUAAAUUUUGUUGGAAGUGGCUGGGUACUGGAUUCCAAAUUCUUAUAUAGCCUAGAGACAAUAAAGGACAUAUUCUGAACAUGGUAUGUAUGGAUCAGGCAAAGCUAUAAACUUUCUGCAGUUUCAGUACAUGUCUUCUUGAAUUUACCAGACGGUGCGCUAGGGUUCUGCCUUGCUAUUUAAGGUCCACCAGUAUGACAACAAGCUAUAAUAGCUGCCAGGGUUUUAUGUACCUUAGCAAAUAUUGUUGGAGCUGCUUCUGGGCCAUUUUCCUUUUAAGCUCUGUCAGUUUUGAAGCAAUUACUGAUUCAAAGUGAUUAUUGCAAUUCUGCAAUGGUGGCCAGGUCUCUGAGGUCCAUAUGGAGCAUUUGAAAGAGCUUAUGAAAUCUACAAAUUAACAAAGUUUGAUAUUUAUUCUGCAAAUAUGGAAUUAGUUUAGAAAAUCCUGUGUAAGAAAUUUUCAUCCAAAACUCCACUUGGAAAUUCAUGAAACUCCAAAGUGGGAUUGUUUGAUUGUGAACUUUAUAGCGCAAUGAAUACUAAAAUAUAACUCAUGUAAUUUCUGAAACAUUUGUGCUUUUGGUGAUGCAAUAAUUCUUUUGGUAGUGGA
RNA transcript from Mangifera indica (mango), 2021 nucleotides. It is a transcript of the gene named transcription factor BOA-like, with no coding region annotated. The transcript is spliced from 4 exons. Lineage: Eukaryota; Viridiplantae; Streptophyta; Magnoliopsida; Sapindales; Anacardiaceae. The record is from RefSeq and is a predicted model, not a curated record.